CUGGUGCUGCCACAGGGGAGAGAUCAGCAGCAGCCCAGGAUUUUUUACAGUGUGCCUCUUCCGUGGUGUAAGAGCACCCAGGCUGAUGUCUGGCCCCAGAGUACAACAGAUAAUCAAAUCCUGAUGAGACAAGAGAGAAGGGGUCCAUGAAGCACUGAGGACAUCGCUGUCAUCACACAAGAAUCUGCCUGGAGAUGAAGAUUCUGUUCUCAGCUAUUUUGGUUUUAGCAGGUGCUUGGGGAAGAGGAGACAAGAAAUGCAAGGAUGGUUUUGGAAGGGCACCUUAUUUGCUUUGUUGUUGGGGAGAUCAGACAUCCAAAAAGAUGGCUACACACAUCUACCCUUGACACCCAGGGAAAUGCUCACUUUGGGUUUGAAGAUGGGAGAGUCACCAGCAUCAUCCUCAGGAUCAUCAUCAACACAUGUGGGACUUUGAGCCUCCUUCAUAAAAGCCAGCUCCAACACCAACCUCAUGGACACCCCUGGCAGCAAAUGGAGAAGCCUGUGAUUCCUCCCUCUUGAAAUGACUCC
This is a long non-coding RNA of Catharus ustulatus (Swainson's thrush), 531 nucleotides long. RefSeq lists it as uncharacterized. NCBI's taxonomy places the organism in Eukaryota, Metazoa, Chordata, Aves, Passeriformes, Turdidae. The transcript is spliced from 3 exons. The record is from RefSeq and is a predicted model, not a curated record.